Molecule: long non-coding RNA, 1259 nt
Organism: Lathyrus oleraceus (garden pea)
Lineage: Eukaryota; Viridiplantae; Streptophyta; Magnoliopsida; Fabales; Fabaceae
Exons: 5
Source: RefSeq, a predicted model, not a curated record
UUUCCGAAAAAUGAUAAUCAAACAUAUCACCGGCCUCGUCUUGUUCUCUAGACCACAAAUCUGUCACUAAUUUCUCAAGAUCUCAUCUCUAACGUCCUAACCGAAUCAUACACUUCAUGAACACUAAAAAUUCAACCACAACUUACAUAACAAUGAACAAGAUUCAGAGCCCUACAUGUUAGGGCUUUGAUCCCCCUUCAUGCAAGGUAUAGUAUGGUAACUUAAUUGAAGUGAAAUGAUGAAGAUGGACCUACAUCCGAAGCUGAGAAAUUUCUUCGGCGAAUAUUGAUCAGAAAAGACGAAAGACAGAGGAAAAUCACUUGAACGAGAAGGUUAGGAAGAUUUGUGCUAUGCAAGUGGACUGAGUUUUUUUGAACCUCUGAUAAGCAAUUUUGCAGGAUUCACUUGGAUUGUAUCAGGUGGUAGCAUGUUGUAUUACCUGGAUAUUUGUGAAUGUUUUUGUCUUGAAUAUUGCAGGAUACAUGACUGGUGCAUUACCAAUUGCAACUUGUCGUAUCAGUUUACAGGGCAACAAGUGUUGUAUGUAAGGCCAUCGUGUUUUGAGUUUGCAAGAUGUUCAGCAGGUUCUGACUUGGGUUUGCAGCAUGGUUACCAGAUUCUAACUUAAGCAUAUUUGAUGUAGCUAUGGUAUUAUGGGGAAAUUCUCAAUCUGAAUGUGGACUGAGGUGUAAUCAGGUGUGCAUUCUAUGUUGAAUCUUCUCUGCAAGGGGGCACAAAUCACUUCCAGAAUUCUACAUUAUGGUCUUGCAGCACUAGUAUGGUUCUGACCGGUUAUCAGCAGGUUUAUGGCCAAUGCAUUGGAUGCUCAAAAUGGUAGUAGGUCUGCAAGUUCACUGCCUUGAUGCUGACCAUAGUAGUUGUAAAUUAGCCUAGGUGCAUUAAUUUGGUUUUGCAGCAUGAAGUGUUUUGCCUUGCCUUUAUUCUGCAGGUUUGUGGUUUGCUCAAGUAUGACCAAGUCCAUGGCAUGAUGACAUCAAGGUUGAAAAUCAAAUACACAUGGCCAAAUUAAGAUCAAAGAUGGAAUUGAAAAGAUGGGAUUAGGACUAUGAUGGGAGACUUAUGGGUUUAGGAUAGAAAAGAAAUUGAGUUGACUUUGGUCAAAGUUGAUGAAAAAGUCAACUGUUGACCAAAGUCAACAUUUGGUCAACAUGUAAUUUUUGCAUUUUUGUUUGAAUGAGACAUUUGUGGUUAUGUAAUUUGAUGUAUAUGAAUGAAAUUGACACUUGUUUAUGGAUGAA